UACGGAGGAUGCAAGCGUUAUCCGGAUUCAUUGGGUUUAAAGGGUGCGUAGGCGGACUAUUAAGUCAGUGGUGAAAGCCUGCAGCUUAACUGCAGAACUGCCAUUGAUACUGAUAGUCUUGAGUUUGGUUAAGGUAGGCAGAAUGUGUAAUGUAGCGGUGAAAUGCUUAGAUAUUACACAGAACACCAAUUGCGUAGGCAGCUUACUGAGCCGACACUGACGCUGAGGCACGAAAGCGUGGGGAUCGAACA
Molecule: ribosomal RNA, 251 nt
Filed under: uncultured prokaryote
Description: partial 16S ribosomal RNA
Rfam family: Bacterial small subunit ribosomal RNA
Source: RNAcentral